UAGGACCUCUGAGAAUCACAAAACCUGAAAAAAUGCAGCUGGCCUCCUUACAGAAGUUGGUUUUCCACAUCUCUCCUCAGAACUUUGUUAGAUCUUUUGAAGCCAGGAGACAAAUAAGAGCAUAUUUUCUUCAGCAUAUGGGGUCACCCCGGACUCGAGUCCCAACCAGCUGUGUGGACCCCCCAGCCCUUCGUCUCCUGUGCUCACACCCUGCCGCGGCAGGAGGCUGCCGACCGGGGCCCCCCAUUGACGUUGCGGUGCCCCCCUGCCAGCCUGUGCUCCUCCACAACCUGAGCACCCCCUUCCACCCAGAGGGCCUUCUCCUCCCAGAGGGACUUUUUAUCCUCCCACAGGGCCUUCUCCUCCUCCAGAAGGGCUCUUUCCUCCUCCCACAGGGCCUUUUCUUCCCCCCACAGGGUCUUGUCCUCCUGAAGGAAGUUCUGGUCUCUUUCCCACAAGGCAUUGUCCUCCUUCCAGAAGGCCUUAUCUUCCUUCUAGAAGAUUCGGUACUUUUUCCAAAAGGCUUUCUCUUCUUCCCAGAAAGAUUUUUCCAUUUCCCAGAAGGCUUUUUCCUCUUUCCAGAAGGUUUUCUCGUCUUCCCAGAAAGGUCUCUCUCUUCCCAAAUGCCCAAGAUCUGGUCCCUGAAAUUGCAGAUCUUGCCACGGAAAUUCCACAUCUCUUCCCUGAAGCCUUCUAUUUUCUCACGGAAGUGUCUCAUCUCUUCCCGAAACACCUUUUCUUCCUGCAGCUUGUGGAUUGGUUUCUUCUGGCGAAUGUUGGAUGAGGAGACCACCAGUGAGUGGAGGCAGGCAAGCACCAUCCAUUUGCUCACCUUGAAGGGAAACAUUGUCUUGGUCAGCCAGGAUGGUGGGGUGACUGCGAUGGAGGACAGGGCUGCUGGCCAAGUCCAGCUCAGCUGGUCCAACCCUAUGGGGGCAUCAGAGAGAACAUGGCCCUUGAGUGUCACAUCCCAGAGGGCAAGCCCUGGCGUCUGUGCCAUUACUGGGAAUUA
RNAcentral lists this long non-coding RNA (1012 nucleotides) under Physeter macrocephalus (sperm whale). RNAcentral describes it as "Physeter catodon (sperm whale) lncRNA (ENSPCTG00005014827.1)". Lineage: Eukaryota; Metazoa; Chordata; Mammalia; Artiodactyla; Physeteridae. The record is from RNAcentral.